GCGGUAAUUCCAGCUCCAAUAGCGUACGUUAAAGUUGCUGCAGUUAAAAAGCUCGUAGUUGAACGUUCGGGUUCCGCGGGACGGGGCCGCCCCGCGAGGGACGGCGCCGCCCCGGGGCUCGUGAUAUCUCAUCUCGCCGCCCGUCGCGAGGCGGACGGAGGGAUGGAUGAGGUUACCUGGAAAAAAUCGGGGCGAUCUAGGCGGGCGAACCUCGCCAACGAACGAUCGGACAUGGGAUAACGGAAGAGGGCGUCGGCUCGACUUCGUCGGUUCCUCGGGCCGAGGCACGUACGGUGAAUAGGGACGGUCGGGGCCGCCCGUACCGGGUCGUGAGAGGUGAAAUUCUAGGAUCGACCCGAGACGAACCGCCGCGAAAGCAUUCGGCAAGGACGCUUUCAUUAAUCAAGAACGAAAGUCGGGGGAUCGAAGACGAUCAGAUACCGUCGUAGUCCCGACCGUAAACG
This 464-nucleotide ribosomal RNA is filed under the name uncultured eukaryote. RNAcentral describes it as "bacterial SSU rRNA". It matches the Rfam family "Eukaryotic small subunit ribosomal RNA", at positions 576 to 1038 of the family's 1831-position model. The record is from RNAcentral.